RNAcentral lists this ribosomal RNA (468 nucleotides) under uncultured bacterium. RNAcentral describes it as "partial 16S ribosomal RNA". It matches the Rfam family "Bacterial small subunit ribosomal RNA", at positions 28 to 507 of the family's 1533-position model. The record is from RNAcentral.
GACGAACGCUGGCGGCGUGCUUAACACAUGCAAGUCGAACGGAAAGGCCCUGCUUUUGUGGGGUGCUCGAGUGGCGAACGGGUGAGUAACACGUGAGUAACCUGCCCUUGUCUUUGGGAUAACUUCAGGAAACUGGGGCUCAUACCGGAUAGGAUCUCCUGCUGCAUGGUGUGGGUUGGAAAGUUUCGGCGGUUGUGGAUGGACUCGCGGCUUAUCAGCUUGUUUGUGGGGUAGUUGCUUACCAAGGCUUUGACGGGUAGCCGGCCUGAGAGGGUGACCGGCCACAUUGGGACUGAGAGACGGAGCAGAAUCCUACGGGAGGCAGCAGUGGGGAAUAUUGCAGAAUGGGCGGAAGCCUGAGGCAGAAACGCCGCGUGCGGGAUGACGGCCUUCGGGUUGUAAACCGCUUUCGACUGUGACGAAGCGUGAGUGACGGUAAUGGGUAAAGAAGCACCGGCUAACUACGUG